CAGUCGACGGCAGCGCGGGAGCAAUCCUGGCGGCGAGUGGCGAACGGGUGAGUAAUACAUCGGAACGUGCCCAAUCGUGGGGGAUAACGCAGCGAAAGCUGUGCUAAUACCGCAUACGAUCUACGGAUGAAAGCAGGGGAUCGCAAGACCUUGCGCGAAUGGAGCGGCCGAUGGCAGAUUAGGUAGUUGGUGAGGUAAAGGCUCACCAAGCCUUCGAUCUGUAGCUGGUCUGAGAGGACGACCAGCCACACUGGGACUGAGACACGGCCCAGACUCCUACGGGAGGCAGCAGUGGGGAAUUUUGGACAAUGGGCGAAAGCCUGAUCCAGCCAUGCCGCGUGCAGGAUGAAGGCCUUCGGGUUGUAAACUGCUUUUGUACGGAACGAAGAGUCUCUUUCUAAUAAAGAGGGAUCAUGACGGUACCGUAAGAAUAAGCACCGGCUAACUACGUGCCAGCAGCCGCGGUAAUACGUAGGGUGCAAGCGUUAAUCGGAAUUACUGGGCGUAAAGCGUGCGCAGGCGGUUAUGUAAGACAGUUGUGAAAUCCCC
This 549-nucleotide ribosomal RNA is filed under the name Variovorax sp. 47AGV. RNAcentral's name for it is "bacterial SSU rRNA". It matches the Rfam family "Bacterial small subunit ribosomal RNA", at positions 59 to 604 of the family's 1533-position model. Lineage: Bacteria; Pseudomonadati; Pseudomonadota; Betaproteobacteria; Burkholderiales; Comamonadaceae. The record is from RNAcentral.